CUGCUUUGGCAGCACAUCUAUUAAAAUUGGAGCAGGGAGAUUAGCAUGGCCCCUGCACAAGGGCAACAUGCAAAUUCAUGCAGCGUUCCCUGUUAAA
This is a small nuclear RNA of Pteropus vampyrus (large flying fox), 97 nucleotides long. Lineage: Eukaryota; Metazoa; Chordata; Mammalia; Chiroptera; Pteropodidae. The record is from Ensembl.